UCCCUGGGGGUCUAGUGGUUAGGACUUGGCAUUUUUAAUGAUGCAGCCUGGGUUCAAUCCCUGGUCUGGGAA
Molecule: transfer RNA, 72 nt
Filed under: Sus scrofa (pig)
Lineage: Eukaryota; Metazoa; Chordata; Mammalia; Artiodactyla; Suidae
Rfam family: tRNA
About the family: Transfer RNA (tRNA) molecules are approximately 80 nucleotides in length. Their secondary structure includes four short double-helical elements and three loops (D, anti-codon, and T loops). Further hydrogen bonds mediate the characteristic L-shaped molecular structure. tRNAs have two regions of fundamental functional importance: the anti-codon, which is responsible for specific mRNA codon recognition, and the 3' end, to which the tRNAs corresponding amino acid is attached (by aminoacyl-tRNA synthetases). tRNAs cope with the degeneracy of the genetic code in two manners: having more than one tRNA (with a specific anti-codon) for a particular amino acid; and 'wobble' base-pairing, i.e. permitting non-standard base-pairing at the 3rd anti-codon position.
Source: Rfam by way of RNAcentral